Molecule: long non-coding RNA, 136 nt
Organism: Sander lucioperca (pikeperch)
Lineage: Eukaryota; Metazoa; Chordata; Actinopteri; Perciformes; Percidae
Exons: 3
Source: RefSeq, a predicted model, not a curated record
AAAUGACAUGACGAUCAAUAUGUUAAUGACCUUUGCAGUUGUUCUUUUGUUACGCCGAAUCAUGACAACUGGUGGGGAAUAAACAAAAAACUUCUCAGACGCUCAGCAAUUGCUGCAAAUUUAAUUAUAAUUUUGG